AUUUGAAUAGUUUAAUUAGAAUAAUAAUUUGUGGAAUUAUUGGUGUAUUUUCUUCAAAUU
Molecule: transfer RNA, 60 nt
Filed under: Henschiella sp. PJ-2015
Lineage: Eukaryota; Metazoa; Arthropoda; Insecta; Hemiptera; Enicocephalidae
Description: tRNA-His
Source: RNAcentral